UACAGAGGGUGCAAGCGUUGUUCGGAAUCAUUGGGCGUAAAGCGCGCGUAGGCGGCUCACUAAGUCAAAUGUGAAAUCCCUGGGCUCAACCCAGGACGUGCAUUCGAAACUGGUGAGCUUGAAUCCCGGAGAGGGUGGUGGAAUUCCCAGUGUAGAGGUGAAAUUCGUAGAUAUUGGGAGGAACACCAGAGGCGAAGGCGAACACCUGGACGGAGAUUGACGCUGAGGCGCGAAAGCGUGGGUAGCGAACAGG
Molecule: unclassified non-coding RNA, 253 nt
Filed under: uncultured Myxococcales bacterium
Lineage: Bacteria; Pseudomonadati; Myxococcota; Myxococcia; Myxococcales
Description: contains 16S-23S intergenic spacer region
Rfam family: Bacterial small subunit ribosomal RNA
Source: RNAcentral